This 810-nucleotide ribosomal RNA is filed under the name uncultured bacterium. Its description in RNAcentral is "bacterial SSU rRNA". It matches the Rfam family "Bacterial small subunit ribosomal RNA", at positions 68 to 869 of the family's 1533-position model. The record is from RNAcentral.
AGCACAGCAGUAGCAAUACUGUGGGUGGCGAGUGGCGGACGGGUGAGUAAUGCAUCGGGAUCUACCCUGACGUGGGGGAUAACCUCGGGAAACCGGGACUAAUACCGCAUACGUCCUACGGGAGAAAGCGGGGGACCUUCGGGCCUCGCGCGGCAGGACGAACCGAUGUGCGAUUAGCUAGUUGGCGGGGUAAUGGCCCACCAAGGCGACGAUCGCUAGCUGGUCUGAGAGGAUGAUCAGCCACACUGGGACUGAGACACGGCCCAGACUCCUACGGGAGGCAGCAGUGGGGAAUAUUGGACAAUGGGCGCAAGCCUGAUCCAGCAAUGCCGCGUGUGUGAAGAAGGCCUUCGGGUUGUAAAGCACUUUUAUCAGGAGCGAAAUACCACGGGUUAAUACCCUAUGGGGCUGACGGUACCUGAGGAAUAAGCACCGGCUAACUUCGUGCCAGCAGCCGCGGUAAUACGAAGGGUGCAAGCGUUAAUCGGAAUUACUGGGCGUAAAGGGUGCGUAGGCGGUUACUUAAGUCUGUCGUGAAAUCCCCGGGCUCAACCUGGGAAUGGCGAUGGAUACUGGGUGGCUAGAGUGUGUCAGAGGAUGGUGGAAUUCCCGGUGUAGCGGUGAAAUGCGUAGAGAUCGGGAGGAACAUCAGUGGCGAAGGCGGCCAUCUGGGACAACACUGACGCUGAAGCACGAAAGCGUGGGGAGCAAACAGGAUUAGAUACCCUGGUAGUCCACGCCCUAAACGAUGCGAACUGGAUGUUGGUCUCAACUCGGAGAUCAGUGUCGAAGCUAACGCGUUAAGUUCGC